UGGGGAAUUUUGGACAAUGGGGGAAACCCUGAUCCAGCCAUCCCGCGUGUGCGAUGAAGGCCUUCGGGUUGUAAAGCACUUUUGGCAGGAAAGAAACGUCAUGGGUUAAUACCCCGUGAAACUGACGGUACCUGCAGAAUAAGCACCGGCUAACUACGUGCCAGCAGCCGCGGUAAUACGUAGGGUGCAAGCGUUAAUCGGAAUUACUGGGCGUAAAGCGUGCGCAGGCGGAUCGGAAAGAAAGAUGUGAAAUCCCAGAGCUCAACUUUGGAACUGCAUUUUUAGCUACCGGGGUGGAGUGUGUGAGAGGGAGGUGGAAUUCCGCGUGUAGCAGUGAAAUGCGUAGAUAGGCGGAGGGACACCGAUGGCGAAGGCAGCCUCCUGGGAUAACACUGACGCUCAUGCACAAAAGCGUGGGGGGCAAACAGG
This 429-nucleotide ribosomal RNA is filed under the name Acidobacteriota bacterium. RNAcentral's name for it is "Acidobacteria bacterium partial 16S ribosomal RNA". It matches the Rfam family "Bacterial small subunit ribosomal RNA", at positions 355 to 776 of the family's 1533-position model. Lineage: Bacteria; Pseudomonadati; Acidobacteriota. The record is from RNAcentral.